GAGUUUGAUCCUGGCUCAGAUUGAACGCUGGCGGCAGGCCUAACACAUGCAAGUCGAACGGUAACAGGAAGAAGCUUGCUUCUUUGCUGACGAGUGGCGGACGGGUGAGUAAUGUCUGGGAAACUGCCUGAUGGAGGGGGAUAACUACUGGAAACGGUAGCUAAUACCGCAUAACGUCGCAAGACCAAAAAGGGGGACCUUCGGGCCUCUUGCCAUCGGAUGUGCCCAGAUGGGAUUAGCUAGUAGGUGGGGUAACGGCUCACCUAGGCGACGAUCCCUAGCUGGUCUGAGAGGAUGACCAGCCACACUGGAACUGAGACACGGUCCAGACUCCUACGGGAGGCAGCAGUGGGGAAUAUUGCACAAUGGGCGCAAGCCUGAUGCAGCCAUGCCGCGUGUAUGAAGAAGGCCUUCGGGUUGUAAAGUACUU
This 430-nucleotide ribosomal RNA is filed under the name uncultured Escherichia sp. RNAcentral's name for it is "bacterial SSU rRNA". It matches the Rfam family "Bacterial small subunit ribosomal RNA", at positions 9 to 435 of the family's 1533-position model. Lineage: Bacteria; Pseudomonadati; Pseudomonadota; Gammaproteobacteria; Enterobacterales; Enterobacteriaceae. The record is from RNAcentral.